CUAAGCCUAUGAUGGUUGGUUUCCCCUGUCUGAAAAUCUGAACUGAGAGAAAAUAAUCUAUUCUGAGAUUUAG
Molecule: small nucleolar RNA, 73 nt
Organism: Ictidomys tridecemlineatus (thirteen-lined ground squirrel)
Lineage: Eukaryota; Metazoa; Chordata; Mammalia; Rodentia; Sciuridae
Source: Ensembl